UACGUAGGGGGCAAGCGUUAUCCGGAUUUACUGGGUGUAAAGGGAGCGCAGGCGGUGGGAUAAGUCUGAAGUGAAAACCCGGAGCUCAACUGCGGGAUUGCUUUGGAAACUGUUUCACUAGAGUAUCGGAGAGGCAAGUGGAAUUCCUAGUGUAGCGGUGAAAUGCGUAGAUAUUAGGAGGAACACCAGCGGCGAAGGCGGCUUGCUGGACGAAGACUGACGCUGAGGCUCGAAAGCGUGGGGAGCAAAC
RNAcentral lists this ribosomal RNA (250 nucleotides) under uncultured prokaryote. Its description in RNAcentral is "partial 16S ribosomal RNA". It matches the Rfam family "Bacterial small subunit ribosomal RNA", at positions 524 to 773 of the family's 1533-position model. The record is from RNAcentral.